This 449-nucleotide unclassified non-coding RNA is filed under the name uncultured Ascomycota. RNAcentral describes it as "sequence contains ITS2". The record is from RNAcentral. Lineage: Eukaryota; Fungi; Ascomycota.
AACUUUUAGCAACGGAUCACUGGCCGCUACGGUCAAUGCAUCGCUGCAGGCGGCUAUAGCAUCUACCAGCCGCACUGCAUUCUUUUCGCGCUUGCCGAGUAUUCGAAAUACAGCCCCCAGACCAAUCUGAGUCAUCGCCCAAUCUCGCGGCACGUGCUCGCGUCGUCGUUCCUUUAGCGCCUCACGAAAGGCGACGACGGCCUCUUCAAGCCGCGCGGUCCCACCCUCCUUCGUACCUAACACUUGAAGCGCCGCGCCGAGCCCGUGUUGCGUUGUGGCCCAGUGGAGCGGCACACGCUCACGCGUGAAUUCCUGAAGCGCCUCGCGAUACGCAGUAACGGCUUCUUCCAAAGCCGACGUGCCACUCUCUCGUUCACCGAGCGCUAGAAGCGUGUUUCCAAGGUUGUUUUGGGUCGCGGCCCACUUAAGCAUAUCAAUAAGCGGAGGCU